UAUGGGAAAGGAAUCCGCAUUAUUGAAUCAUUCACAGUUCAUAUCAUUAUUCUUACACUUAGAUAGAAUCUAAAAAAAAGUAUUCUUUUUGAAGAUCUAAGAAAUUCAAGGACUUGGUAAGAUUUUUUUAAUACUUUUUUAUUUAGUCUCUUUAAUUGACAUAGAUACAAGUACUCUAGUAGGAUGAUGUACAGAAAAGGGUCGGGAUAGCUCAGUUGGUAGAGCAGAGG
This 230-nucleotide transfer RNA is filed under the name Tacca sp. HN-2017b. RNAcentral describes it as "partial tRNA-Phe". The record is from RNAcentral. Lineage: Eukaryota; Viridiplantae; Streptophyta; Magnoliopsida; Dioscoreales; Taccaceae.